GACGUAGGGCGCGAGCGUUGUCCGGAUUUAUUGGGCGUAAAGAGCUCGUAGGCGGUUUGUCGCGUCGUCUGUGAAAACCCACGGCUCAACUGUGGGCUUGCAGGCGAGACGGGCAGGCUAGAGUUCGGUAGGGGAGACUGGAAUUCCUGGUGUAGCGGUGAAAUGCGCAGAUAUCAGGAGGAACACCGGUGGCGAAGGCGGGUCUCUGGGCCGAUACUGACGCUGAGGAGCGAAAGCGUGGGGAGCGAACAGG
RNAcentral lists this ribosomal RNA (253 nucleotides) under uncultured bacterium. RNAcentral's name for it is "partial 16S ribosomal RNA". It matches the Rfam family "Bacterial small subunit ribosomal RNA", at positions 524 to 776 of the family's 1533-position model. The record is from RNAcentral.